CCUGAAAGGGCGGGGUGCCCGCAAGGGAGCGUGGAGACAGGUGGUGCAUGGCUGUCGUCAGCUCGUGUCGUGAGAUGUUGGGUUAAGUCCCGCAACGAGCGCAACCCUCACCCCUAGUUGCCACCGGGUAAUGCCGAGCACUCGAGGGGAACUGCCAGCGUCAAGCUGGAGGAAGGCGGGGAUGACGUCAAGUCAUCAUGCCCCUUACGCCCUGGGCUACACACGUGCUACAAUGGCCAGUACAAAGGGAUGCGAGACCGUAGGUGGAGCUAAUCCCAAAAAGCCGGUCUAAGUUCAGAUUGGAAGUCUGCAACUCGACUCCAUGAAGGAGGAAUCGCUAGUAAUCGCGUAUCAGCACGACGCGGUGAAUACGUUCCCGGGCCUUGUACACACCGCCCGUCACACCACGAAAGCCCAGUUGUACUCGAAG
This 430-nucleotide ribosomal RNA is filed under the name Methylomirabilis oxygeniifera (SeqCode). RNAcentral describes it as "bacterial SSU rRNA". It matches the Rfam family "Bacterial small subunit ribosomal RNA", at positions 1000 to 1426 of the family's 1533-position model. Lineage: Bacteria; Methylomirabilota (SeqCode); Methylomirabilia (SeqCode); Methylomirabilales (SeqCode); Methylomirabilaceae (SeqCode). The record is from RNAcentral.